GUCCAUUUCAUAACAAAAUAAGUCAUAAUAUGCUAGUUUUCCACAAUUCACAUUGGUGACAGUAUUGACUGUAAUGCUCCCAUUCACUAGGGUGAUGCAACCCUCCUUUGUAGAGGCAAAUGGCGAUGGUAUAUUUCAGCCUGAGAUGGCUGCAGGUGGCGUCAUCUCCAUUUAUGCACUGAUAAUGACCCUUCAGUGUGUCUGGGGAGCUGGUCCCGCACAGGAAGACUGAGGUAGAUGGCUUUGGAGGCUAUUUCUUUGCCGGUAAUUGCGCAGCUCUUUUCAAUGAAAACUGUCCUGCUGUGUUAUGCCCUUGAAUGAUAGGCACUCGGGUGCCCUACUUUGGAUGGCUAGAGCUGCAGUUUUCACAUUAAUUGUGUUGUGUAUUUGUGUACGUGUGCAUGUGUGUAUUUCUUUUCUGACUGACAAGCGAGGUGAUUCAAGUUGUCACAAGCAUACAGACCAUUGCAAAUGGUUUGUGUUCGGCUUGUGUAUGUAUGUAGGGAGGUGUACUGUGUGCCUGUAUAAUCCUCUCACACCAUAUCUGUGUCUGUGGGGAGUGUAUUGUGUACUUCCUCCAAUUCUUUUCUGCAGAUCUGUUUUCCUGCCAUUGCUAGAGCACAGGACAAGGUCACAUUACCACUGAUACCCACACACAAUCACACACAUUUAUGGUCAUACACACAAAUGUUGUUUCUCAAUACUCUUUUUUUCUUUUUCUUUUUCUUUUUCGAAAACCAGGCCCACCUACUAGGACCCAUCUGCAGUGACACCAAUUUCAUGAGUCAAUGAUACAUCUGUUGGGAAUCCUGAACAUAGAUGUGCUGUACAUACAUGUGCAACUGGAUGCUGCGUACCUACUCAGUGAUCGCCUGACUUUUGAUCUUCUGACCCCUUUGUGAUAUUAGCCCACAUAGCCACCAUUACCGACUGUCUACUUUUCUUGGAAAGGAGUUGAUAAGAAGAGGCAAUUUACCCUCAUCCUCCUUCUUUUUGCUUGAUAAACAACACGAAAGCAAGUUUCCAUGACCUCAUUGACUGAUUGGGGCUCUUGCUUCUUUAUCACUCAGUCUUGUUGCUGCCUCAUCUGUGGCAAUACCUUUUGUGCAAUACUUUUGUAAAUAGUCAACGGUGCAAUAGACUCAAUACUUGAAAUGUGCAAUUCACUUGUAUUUUUAUUUUUAUUCCUAUUUAUUCUAUUUAUCCCCUUCGUAUAUUUUAUUUAUAUUGUCUCUGUAUUUAUAUAUAUGUGUGUGUGUAUAACUCUGUAACUUCUGUCGGUGCUGUGCUUUUUUGGAAAUCGAAUUUCCCAGAGGAACCCACCCGAGGGAUUAAUAAAGUUCUAUCUUAUCUUAUCUUAUCUUAUCUUAUCUAUCCUGAUGCAUAUUUUUUUCUUUGAAACUGGGCUAUAAUGACAGAUAAUCACCCAGGAAUUUAGCACAGAGAGGACAAAUAGUAGGCUGGAAGAAAACUCAGGAACAUAAAACAACUGGUCAAUAGGUGAUCUGUGAUUAUAAGUAAUGACUUUGUAACUACACACAGAUACUGUGGCGAGAGAAGC
Astatotilapia calliptera (eastern happy) is the source of this 1561-nucleotide long non-coding RNA. Lineage: Eukaryota; Metazoa; Chordata; Actinopteri; Cichliformes; Cichlidae. The record is from Ensembl.